RNAcentral lists this ribosomal RNA (526 nucleotides) under Solemya sp. KeSole3. RNAcentral describes it as "partial 16S ribosomal RNA". It matches the Rfam family "Bacterial large subunit ribosomal RNA", at positions 1816 to 2600 of the family's 2925-position model. The record is from RNAcentral. Lineage: Eukaryota; Metazoa; Mollusca; Bivalvia; Solemyida; Solemyidae.
CGCUUUUUGUUAUAUAAAAAUAAAAAGUAGAGCCUGCCCAGUGAAGUUAAGUUUAAACGGCCGCAGUACCCUGACUGUGCGAAGGUAGCAUAAUCAUUUGCUCUUUAAUUAGGAGCUGGAAUGAACGGUUUGACGAGGGCUUAACUGUCUUAAUUUAAUUUAUUAGAAAUUGAUUUUUAGGUGAAGAAGCCUAAAUUUUACUAUAGGACAAGAAGACCCUAUUGAGCUUUAAUUUGUUUGUUAAGUUAUUGAUAUAUUAUAAUAAAAUUUAGAUUAAUAGAUGAUUUGAAUUGGGGCGAUUAAGGAAAAAAAUAAACUUCCUUUAAAAUAUUGAAAGUUAAUUUAAUUAGUGAUCCAGGAGUAUUAUAAUUCUGAUUAAAAGAAUAAGUUACCAUAGGGAUAACAGCGUAAUCUUUUUUGAGAGUUCUUAUCGAAAAAAAGGGUUGCGACCUCGAUGUUGGACUAAGGUAUCCUGAGGGUGUAGCAGUUCUCAAUGGUUGGUCUGUUCGACCAUUAAAACCUUACA